AACUUACACUAAAAGAAAACUUUGGAUAGAACGGAGCAGGAGGGAGAUUCUCAGUGUCAGAUAUAAAUUGUCAGAUAAUGACAUGUUGUUGUCAAGUGCUCUAUAAAUCAUUUUACAUGUGUCAUAACAUAAAAUAAAAACAAUUGACCAAAUAUUUAAGCAAUAAUUAAAUAAGAAUAUACGUAACAAAGCUAUGACACUUUAACUUUAACUUCGAUAUUGUUUAGUCAAGAUAAUAAGGUUGACAUUACUCAGGAUCAAAUAUAGUCAAAAAACAUGGGAGCAAGUAAAAGUCAAUUUUCUGAAGAAGAAUUACAAGAUUAUCAGGAUCUGACAUAUUUUACGAAAAAGGAAGUUUUAUAUGCUCAUCAAAAAUUCAAAGCUCUUGCACCGGAAAAAGUUGGUCACAAUAGAAACGCGAAGUUACCUAUGUCAAAAAUUCUCAGAUAUUCUGAAUUACGUGUAAAUCCAUUUGGAGACCGAAUUUGUAAAGUUUUCAGCUCAAGCCAAGAUGGCGAUUGCACUUUUGAAGAUUUUUUAGAUAUGAUGUCAGUAUUUAGCGAUGCUGCUCCAAAAGCAGUCAAAGCAGAGCAUGCCUUUCGUAUUUUUGACUUUGAUGGAGAUGAUAUGCUAGGAAUGGGUGAUUUACGACAAGUAAUUGAUAGAUUAACAGCUCCACAAAGAUUGAGUGAAAAUGACAUGCAGCGUCUGCUUCAAUACCUAUUAGAUGAAGCUGAUCUUGACGAUGAUGGUGCUUUAAGCUUUGCUGAAUUUGAACACAUCAUUGAAAAAAGCAGUGAUUUUUCGAAAACCUUUAGGAUUAAUCUUUGAGACAAAAAUUUUUAAACAUACUUCGAGGAUGACAGAAAAUGUAUAUAGAAUGAUAAAUAUUAUAAUUUAUCAUAAUCCGCAGUUAAUUUUAGCUUUCUCAAUGAACAUAUUCGAUAAUUCUAGAAUAUACUCGAAUAAGACUGAUCGAUUAUUUUUAUUUAUUUUUUUCAACUUUAUUCAUUUUCUCUUAAAAUGGUUUAUUUAAAUAUGCUUGUGUUUUCUUUUUUUUCGUCAAAAAAAAAAAUUACACUAUAUUUUGGUACAGUUCAGGUACAAAGCAUUCUGUGUACACUCAGUCUAAUUUAAUACAGAGCACCGUCUCUAAAAAAAUCCUAGUUUUGUCUCGGAUUUUCUAGGUCACUCACAAAACCAAGAAAAAACAACCUGCGACAUCACAAAGAGGGUACACCAAUAAUUUGCUAAGUUAUAGCUAUACUUCAUCUAUUUACAAUUCAUAUAACACACAUAUUUCGUAAAAAACAUAACCUACUGUAAUGAGAUGUAGGUUUGGAGACACGAAUCUUGGAAAUUUUAUUUCUUGUAAGCAUACGUUGAAUAUUUUUUAAAUUUAUUUAUAUCAAUAAAAAUGAUUUUUCAUUGUUAAUUUAAUAAAAUUGAAUUUUAAAAAAUAUCCUCAAUCUAUUUUAAUUUCAUAAAAAACUAAAGAAAAAAAGAACGUUCGAGGUAAUUGUCUAAAGGAUGGAAAGACGGGUUAAUACAUUCCUAUGAAAAUACGAAUUUAUUUUGUACAAUUUUUUCGCAAUCGUCUUUGCAUUAGAUAUAUAUUUUUGCAAAGUGUUAGUUCCCUUACUUAUGUAUAUGUAUUGACGUCCCCUCCUAUUCCGACCUUACCUGUUGUUCUUCUUUAAACUGAAUUUUCAUAACAACAAAGGCUACGAAGACUGGCAUUGUAGAUUGUCUGUUUAUUUAUUAAUUUAUUGAUAAUAGAUGCCAAGGCACAGGCCGAAUAGCAAGGUAUUUUAAAUUA
RNAcentral lists this unclassified non-coding RNA (1819 nucleotides) under Cotesia glomerata. RNAcentral describes it as "calcium and integrin-binding protein 1-like, transcript variant X2". Lineage: Eukaryota; Metazoa; Arthropoda; Insecta; Hymenoptera; Braconidae. The record is from RNAcentral.